AUGCCAGCAUCUGCCACAGCCAAAGAAGAGCCUCACCCUUUGAUGGAUACAGACCUGCGAGGGGUAGCGCCACUGCCCAUAUCCUCCUCUCCUCGAGCCGCCCGCACUGGACCCAUUAAGACGGGAGGCCUGGUUCAAGUCCUGGACCACGGCCGGUGGACGGCCCCCAUGAGAGCAGCCAUCGAUGGGCUUCUGGCUAAACAUCAUGGAGCCAAAGCUCUUCUGAAGAGGGUGGAUGCGGAAUAUGCUGCCAUGGUGCAGAGGGCGUGCACGGAUCCCAACAGCCUCCUUCAUCCGACCACAGGCCAGCAUAUCUCCAGAUAUGUCAAGCAUCUGGCCAAGCUGAAAAACACCAGCUCCUCUCUCAACACCAGCCCAGAGAAGGUUUUAGAGACUCAGCAGCUGUGGCAGAGUUUGACCACAGGCAGCAAAACAGUGUGUGUACCCGUCACAGCCCUGCCUCCUGCGACCGUCAACCCUCCAGCUGUGGCUCCCCCCCCGGAGGAGUCACUGAGCCGGGCCACAGUGGAGAAGAUCGUGUCAGAGAUCCUCCAGAAACAGCAGCAACAACCAAGGCAGGAGAGAAAGGUGCCCAGAAACUGUUUGUCCUGUGGUCAGCCAAAGUCCAGGUACCUUGGCGAUGGAUCCACUGUUCACUUUUUUUUUCAGUCCCCUGAGGUGAAGUACUUUUACUGCUCCGAACGGGUCUUUAAAAUGUAUAGAGAGGAAGGCCUCAAAGACCCCAGGAUGUCUUUUGUGGACUUUGCUGCCUCCCCCUUUUUUGCCAGGGAGCUUGAGGCUGUAAAAGAGAGGAGUGCAGCGUGGAAGAAGGUGGCAGAGGAGAGGACAAAGCGAAAGUCUGCAGUGCAGCUUCCAACAGGUCGCCUGUGCAGAUUCUGUCACCAACCACUAAAGCAGGGUCCUGUCAGCCCUCAUGUCCAUGCCUGUUUCCCUGACAUCCCAGGGAAAUACAUAUACUGCCCCUCCAGAGUGUUGUCCCUUUACAAGGACAAGGGCAUGGUCAAGGAGAUGACCUGGAUGGAGUUCCAGCAGUCAGACUUUUUUGAGGCAGAAAGGGUCCGAUGGGUUUCAGAGAAGAGGAGUUGAGGAGGACUAAUAGUCCUCUUUUCUGAAAUGAAAUGAUUAGACCUUGACUAAUCAUUUCAUAAUAUCAUAUAUGUUUACACUUUCUAUUAAAUAUAUUCUGUACAUUUGUAUUGUUCCUUUGCUUAUAUAUUAUCUCAGUUUGGACUUUGGGUGUUUAAUAACUAAUAGUCCACUUUUCUAUAAUAUUGUAUAUGUUUACACUUUUUUGUAAAUAUAUUCUGUACAUUUGAAUUGUUCCUUUGCUUACAUAUUAUCUUGAUUUAUCUUCAAUAUCAGUUUGGACUUUGGGUGUUUAAUAACUAAUAGUCCUCUUUUCUAUAAUAUUGUAUAUGUUUACACUUUUUAGUAAAUAUGUUCUGUACAUUUGCAUUGUUCCUUUGCUUGCAUGUUAACUUUAUUUAUCUUCAAUGUCAGUUUGGAUUUUGGGUGUUUAAUUAUUCAGCUCGUGUUCAUGUAGAAUUAAAUAUGACACUUUCAUCGAAGGGCAGCAACUUGUUUCUGGAUUAUUUGCUUCGUGGAGCAUAUUGUGCCUUUCAUGCAUCAUUUAUAUAAUAUAAAUAUUUUUAAUGAUG
Molecule: long non-coding RNA, 1679 nt
Organism: Gadus morhua (Atlantic cod)
Lineage: Eukaryota; Metazoa; Chordata; Actinopteri; Gadiformes; Gadidae
Source: Ensembl